Molecule: long non-coding RNA, 581 nt
Organism: Ornithodoros turicata
Lineage: Eukaryota; Metazoa; Arthropoda; Arachnida; Ixodida; Argasidae
Exons: 2
Source: RefSeq, a predicted model, not a curated record
CCACGGUGUUGAUGCCUCAACAUUGACAUUUUAGAAGAAGGCAUGAAAAAUUACUGCAUCGUGGCGCGGUUAAUGCGACAUAAUGUUCGACCCUCCCAAGCUGAAGACAUUGGAAAGGACACUCAUAAGUUGGCUUAUUGUCCUGCUCGUAUUUCUCCCUGCUGUCACAUACGCGUCAGAACCCCAAGGGAUCGGUGACGCUACAAAAAUAUUGAACACAGUUCAACAAUGGCAUUCUUCGGUUUCCAUAGACCAUAGCAGCUUCGAAGCCACUUCGUCGGAGAAGAUUGCGAAGGACAGCUUUUAUUUUCCGAGCAUUUUCAGAAGGUCCACGAGCCCCACGAAAGUGACCGAAAUUAUAUUUGAAGUCAGCCUCGCAAAUAUCGGUUUCAACUACACCACGACAGUUUUGUCUAGGACGCUGCAUCUUAAGGUUAAGGUGGAAAAAGUGAAAGUGAUCUUGACGCUUCAUCAAGGUGAACGAAAUGUACUGACCGUGGCUUCCUUUCGUAUCGAUCACCUCAGUUGUAUCCACGCUCAAGUUGGAGGUUUCUGGUUUAUUGAUCAGGUGCUGAACUUCA